AGCGUACACGGUGGAUGCCCUGGCAGUCAGAGGCGAUGAAGGACGUGCUAAUCUGCGAAAAGCGUCGGUAAGGUGAUAUGAACCGUUAUAACCGGCGAUGUCCGAAUGGGGAAACCCAGUGCAAUUCGUUGCACUAUCGUUAACUGAAUACAUAGGUUAACGAGGCGAACCGGGGGAACUGAAACAUCUAAGUACCCCGAGGAAAAGAAAUCAACCGAGAUUCCCCCAGUAGCGGCGAGCGAACGGGGAGCAGCCCAGAGUCUGAAUCAGCUUGUGUGUUAGUGGAACGGUCUGGAAAGUCCGACGGUACAGGGUGAUAGUCCCGUACACCAAAAUGCACAGGUUGUGAACUCGAAGAGUAGGGCGGGACACGUGGUAUCCUGUCUGAAUAUGGGGGGACCAUCCUCCAAGGCUAAAUACUCCUGACUGACCGAUAGUGAACCAGUACCGUGAGGGAAAGGCGAAAAGAACCCCGGCGAGGGGAGUGAAAAAGAACCUGAAACCGUGUACGUACAAGCAGUGGGAGCACCUUCGGGUGUGACUGCGUACCUUUUGUAUAAUGGGUCAGCGACUUAUAUUCUGUAGCAAGGUUAACCGUAUAGGGGAGCCGCAGGGAAACCGAGUCUUAACUGGGCGUUAAGUUGCAGGGUAUAGACCCGAAACCCGGUGAUCUAGCCAUGGGCAGGUUGAAGGUUGGGUAACACUAACUGGAGGACCGAACCGACUAAUGUUGAAAAAUUAGCGGAUGACUUGUGGCUGGGGGUGAAAGGCCAAUCAAACCGGGAGAUAGCUGGUUCUCCCCGAAAGCUAUUUAGGUAGCGCCUCGUGAAUUCAUCUUCGGGGGUAGAGCACUGUUUCGGCUAGGGGGUCAUCCCGACUUACCAACCCGAUGCAAACUACGAAUACCGAAGAAUGUUAUCACGGGAGACACACGGCGGGUGCUAACGUCCGUCGUGAAGAGGGAAACAACCCAGACCGCCAGCUAAGGUCCCAAAGUCAUGGUUAAGUGGGAAACGAUGUGGGAAGGCACAGACAGCCAGGAUGUUGGCUUAGAAGCAGCCAUCAUUUAAAGAAAGCGUAAUAGCUCACUGGUCGAGUCGGCCUGCGCGGAAGAUGUAACGGGGCUAAACCAUGCACCGAAGCUGCGGCAGCGACACUAUGUGUUGUUGGGUAGGGGAGCGUUCUGUAAGCCUGCGAAGGUGACCUGUGAGGGUUGCUGGAGGUAUCAGAAGUGCGAAUGCUGACAUAAGUAACGAUAAAGCGGGUGAAAAGCCCGCUCGCCGGAAGACCAAGGGUUCCUGUCCAACGUUAAUCGGGGCAGGGUGAGUCGACCCCUAAGGCGAGGCCGAAAGGCGUAGUCGAUGGGAAACAGGUUAAUAUUCCUGUACUUGGUGUUACUGCGAAGGGGGGACGGAGAAGGCUAUGUUAGCCGGGCGACGGUUGUCCCGGUUUAAGCAUGUAGGCUGGUUGUCCAGGCAAAUCCGGAUAAUCAAGGCUGAGGUGUGAUGACGAGGCACUACGGUGCUGAAGUAACAAAUGCCCUGCUUCCAGGAAAAGCCUCUAAGCAUCAGGUAACAUCAAAUCGUACCCCAAACCGACACAGGUGGUCAGGUAGAGAAUACCAAGGCGCUUGAGAGAACUCGGGUGAAGGAACUAGGCAAAAUGGUGCCGUAACUUCGGGAGAAGGCACGCUGGUGUGUAGGUGAAGUCCCUGCGGAUGGAGCUGAGACCAGUCGAAGAUACCAGCUGGCUGCAACUGUUUAUUAAAAACACAGCACUGUGCAAACACGAAAGUGGACGUAUACGGUGUGACGCCUGCCCGGUGCCGGAAGGUUAAUUGAUGGGGUUAUCCGUAAGGAGAAGCUCUUGAUCGAAGCCCCGGUAAACGGCGGCCGUAACUAUAACGGUCCUAAGGUAGCGAAAUUCCUUGUCGGGUAAGUUCCGACCUGCACGAAUGGCGUAAUGAUGGCCAGGCUGUCUCCACCCGAGACUCAGUGAAAUUGAACUCGCUGUGAAGAUGCAGUGUACCCGCGGCAAGACGGAAAGACCCCGUGAACCUUUACUAUAGCUUGACACUGAACAUUGAGCCUUGAUGUGUAGGAUAGGUGGGAGGCUUUGAAGCGUGGACGCCAGUCUGCGUGGAGCCAACCUUGAAAUACCACCCUUUAAUGUUUGAUGUUCUAACGUUGGCCCCUUACCGGGGUUGCGGACAGUGUCUGGUGGGUAGUUUGACUGGGGCGGUCUCCUCCCAAAGCGUAACGGAGGAGCACGAAGGUUAGCUAAUCCUGGUCGGACAUCAGGAGGUUAGUGCAAUGGCAUAAGCUAGCUUGACUGCGAGCGUGACGGCGCGAGCAGGUGCGAAAGCAGGUCAUAGUGAUCCGGUGGUUCUGAAUGGAAGGGCCAUCGCUCAACGGAUAAAAGGUACUCCGGGGAUAACAGGCUGAUACCGCCCAAGAGUUCAUAUCGACGGCGGUGUUUGGCACCUCGAUGUCGGCUCAUCACAUCCUGGGGCUGAAGUAGGUCCCAAGGGUAUGGCUGUUCGCCAUUUAAAGUGGUACGCGAGCUGGGUUUAGAACGUCGUGAGACAGUUCGGUCCCUAUCUGCCGUGGGCGCUGGAGAAUUGAGGGGGGCUGCUCCUAGUACGAGAGGACCGGAGUGGACGCAUCACUGGUGUUCGGGUUGUCAUGCCAAUGGCACUGCCCGGUAGCUAAAUGCGGAAGAGAUAAGUGCUGAAAGCAUCUAAGCACGAAACUUGCCCCGAGAUGAGUUCU
RNAcentral lists this ribosomal RNA (2771 nucleotides) under human gut metagenome. RNAcentral's name for it is "bacterial LSU rRNA". It matches the Rfam family "Bacterial large subunit ribosomal RNA". The record is from RNAcentral.